This 458-nucleotide ribosomal RNA is filed under the name uncultured Spirochaetaceae bacterium. Its description in RNAcentral is "bacterial SSU rRNA". It matches the Rfam family "Bacterial small subunit ribosomal RNA", at positions 926 to 1382 of the family's 1533-position model. Lineage: Bacteria; Pseudomonadati; Spirochaetota; Spirochaetia; Spirochaetales; Spirochaetaceae. The record is from RNAcentral.
CAAGCGGUGGAGCAUGUGGUUUAAUUCGAUGGUACACGAGGAACCUUACCUGGGUUUGACAUGCACAGGAAUACGGCAGAGAUGUCGUAGUCCCGCAAGGGAUCUGUGAACAGGUGCUGCAUGGCUGUCGUCAGCUCGUGCCGUGAGGUGUUGGGCUAAGUCCCGCAACGAGCGCAACCCCUACUGCCAGUUACUAACAGGUAAUGCUGAGGACUCUGGCGGAACUGCCGGUGACAAACCGGAGGAAGGUGGGGAUGACGUCAAAUCAUCAUGCCCCUUAUGACCUGGGCUACAAACGUGAUACAAUGGCUGAAACAAAGGGCAGCGAAGCAGUGAUGUGGAGCGAAACCCAAAAAAGCAGUCUCGGUUCGGAUUGAAGUCUGCAACUCGACUUCAUGAAGUUGGAAUCGCUAGUAAUCGUAGAUCAGAACGCUACGGUGAAUACGUUCUCGGGGUUU